This 326-nucleotide ribosomal RNA is filed under the name uncultured Enterobacter sp. RNAcentral describes it as "bacterial SSU rRNA". It matches the Rfam family "Bacterial small subunit ribosomal RNA", at positions 387 to 711 of the family's 1533-position model. Lineage: Bacteria; Pseudomonadati; Pseudomonadota; Gammaproteobacteria; Enterobacterales; Enterobacteriaceae. The record is from RNAcentral.
UGCAGCAUGCCGCGUGUAUGAAGAAGGCCUUCGGGUUGUAAAGUACUUUCAGCGGGGAGGAGGGGGUGGUUAAUAACCACAGCAAUUGACGUUACCCGCAGAAGAGCACCGGCUAACUCCGUGCCAGCAGCCGCGGUAAUACGGAGGGUGCAAGCGUUAAUCGGAAUUACUGGGCGUAAAGAGCACGCAGGCGGUCUGUCAAGUCGGAUGUGAAAUCCCCGGGCUCAACCUGGGAACUGCAUUCGAAACUGGCAGGCUAGAGUCUUUAGAGGGGGGUAGAAUUCCAGGUGUAGCGGUGAAAUGCGUAGAGAUCUGGAGGAAUACCG